UUGCUUCGUCAUGGAGCUCCGGGACUCCAC
Molecule: small RNA, 30 nt
Filed under: Bombyx mori (domestic silkworm)
Lineage: Eukaryota; Metazoa; Arthropoda; Insecta; Lepidoptera; Bombycidae
Description: ovarian small RNA-2411
Source: RNAcentral